RNAcentral lists this ribosomal RNA (440 nucleotides) under uncultured bacterium. Its description in RNAcentral is "bacterial SSU rRNA". It matches the Rfam family "Bacterial small subunit ribosomal RNA", at positions 338 to 770 of the family's 1533-position model. The record is from RNAcentral.
CCUACGGGAGGCUGCAGUCGAGAAUCUUCCGCAAUGCGCGCAAGCGUGACGGAGCGACGCCGCGUGGGCGAUGAAGGCCUUCGGGUUGUAAAGCCCUGUUAGCUACUAUGAACCGCGGGUGGUGAAUAGCCAUCCCGUCUGACGUAAGUAGCAAAGAAAGCACCGGCUAACUACGUGCCAGCAGCCGCGGUAAUACGUAGGGUGCUAACGUUGUUCGGAAUCACUGGGCAUAAAGAGCGCGUAGGCAGUCUGAUAAGUCAGGUGUGAAAUCCCCCGGCUCAACCGGGGAACCGCACCUGAUACUGUCGGGCUUGAGUGCAGGAGGGGAGAGCGGAAUUCCUGGUGGAGCGGUGAAAUGCGUAGAUAUCAGGAGGAACGCCGGCGGCGAAAGCGGCUCUCUGGCCUGUUACUGACGCUGAGGCGCGAAAGCUAGGGGAGCA